UGGAUGCCAUGGAAAUCCUGACGCCU
Molecule: non-coding RNA, 26 nt
Filed under: Homo sapiens (human)
Lineage: Eukaryota; Metazoa; Chordata; Mammalia; Primates; Hominidae
Source: RNAcentral